Molecule: ribosomal RNA, 1443 nt
Filed under: Leptolyngbya sp. PCC 73110
Lineage: Bacteria; Bacillati; Cyanobacteriota; Cyanophyceae; Leptolyngbyales; Leptolyngbyaceae
Description: 16S ribosomal RNA
Rfam family: Bacterial small subunit ribosomal RNA
Source: RNAcentral
AUGCUUAACACAUGCAAGUCGAACGGUCUCUUCGGAGAUAGUGGCGGACGGGUGAGUAACGCGUGAGAACAUGCCUUUAGAUUGGGGACAACAGUUGGAAACGACUGCUAAUACCGAAUGUGCCUUAGGGUGAAAGAUUUAUUGUCUAGAGAUUGGCUCGCGUCAGAUUAGCUAGUUGGAGUGGUAACGCACACCAAGGCGACGAUCUGUACUUNGUCUGAGAGGAUGACCAGGCACACUGGAACUGAGACACGGUCCAGACUCCUACGGNAGGCNGCAGUGGGGAAUUUUAAGCAAUGGGCGAAAGNNUGACGGAGCAAUACCGCGUGAGGGAGGACGGNUUUUGGGUUGUAAACCUCUUUUAUCAGGGAAGAAUCGAUGACGGUACCUGAUGAAUCAGCAUCGGCUAACUCCGUGCCAGCAGCCGCNGUAAUACGGAGGAUGCAAGCGUUAUCCGGAAUUAUNGGGCGUAAAGCGUUCCGUAGGUGGUUUAUCAAGUCUGCUGUCAAAGCGUGCGGCUUAACCGCAUAAGGGCAGUGGAAACUGAUGAACUAGAGUGCGAUAGGGGUAACAGGAAUUCCCAGUGUAGCGGUGAAAUGCGUAGAUAUUGGGAAGAACACCAGCGGCGAAANGUGUUACUGGGUCUGCACUGACACUGAGGGACGAAAGCUAGGGGAGCGAAAGGGAUUAGAUACCCCUGUAGUCCUANCCGUAAACGAUGACAACUAGGCGUGGUUCGUAUCGACCCGAGCCGUGCCGUAGCCAACGCGUUAAGUUGUCCGCCUGGGGAGUACGCACGCAAGUGUGAAACUCAAAGGAAUUGACGGGGGCCCGCACAAGCGUGGAGUAUGUGGUUUAAUUCGAUGCAACGCGAAGAACCUUACCAAGGCUUGACAUCCUCGGAACCCUGAUGAAAGUUAGGGGUGCCUUCGGGAGCCGAGAGACAGGUGGUGCAUGGCUGUCGUCAGCUCGUGUCGUGAGAUGUUGGGUUAAGUCCCGCAACGAGCGCAACCCACGUUUUUAGUUGCCAGCAUUCAGUUGGGCACUCUAGAGAGACUGCCGGUGACAAACCGGAGGAAGGUGUGGAUGACGUCAAGUCAGCAUGCCCCAUACGCCUUGGGCUACACACGUACUACAAUGNGUCGGACAAAGAGCAGCCAGCCAGCGAUGGUGAGCCAAUCUCAUAAACCGGCGCUCAGUUCAGAUUGCAGGCUGCAACUCGCCUGCAUGAAGGCGGAAUCGCUAGUAAUCGCAGGUCAGCAUACUGCGGUGAAUACGUUCCCGGGCCUUGUACACACCGCCCGUCACACCAUGGGAGUUGGUCACGCCCGAAGUCGUUACUCUAACUGCUUGCAGAGGAGGACGCCGAAGGUGGGGCUGAUGACUGGGGUGAAGUCGUAACAAGGUAGCCGUACCGGAAGGUGUGGCUGGAUCACCUCCUUA